GCAAUCAAAGCCCAGGUGACUCGUGCUAAUUCUUUGUUUUUUUGCCUUUUUCAGAAUUGUGUCCCUAAUAUUUCGAGAAGCAAGCUUGACAAUGAUGUUUGGUGCAGUUGUAUUAUUCUUUGUAGGAACGCGGUGUAUCACAUCAAUGUCCGAGUCUUUAAUUUCUACGUUCAAGCAGCUAGAGAUGGCUUGCAUUGUGGUACCGAGGUUCUCUCCAGCCUUAAUUGGAACACCUUUGAUUUCCAGGUUGCUAAUACGACUGUGUUGUGCAACGGCAGUCAGCUCUUGUUUAACAUCUUUCAGUUCAUUUGACAGGCGACUGUUUUCCUUUCUUAUUGCAAUGUUGUCCGACUUGACUGCAGCGACUUCCAGUUUGAUUUCUUCAAAACUCUGAUUAAUAAAGUUCAUUGCUGAUUUCACUGAUUCCAUUUCGCCCUCAAUCACUUUGAUGCUAUCACGUUUUAAUUCUUCGUGAUUCUUUGCAAUUUGUGCGGUCAAAUCUGACAUUGCCUUGGCCAGCUCCUUUAUAGUACUCAUUUUGAUAAGUUUCACCCAGAGAGCAGUCCAAGAGCUACAAUGCGCGCAAAUAGAACGUUUCAAAAUGCUUCAGCACAUACCUGCGUGAAGUAAGGUUUGCGGUUAAUAGCCGUCCUAUCCUGCAGCUGCCUGGACUGCUCUCGAAUGAUCCUUUUGCCCGGUCAGUACAUCGCUUUCAUAGUCCUGGGAUGACGUCACGGUUCCGUCCGGGGGCGUUAUCCGCAGCCUCCAACGUAGUUUCCAACUUGAUAAGAGUAUCAAUGCGCUGACACGUGCGAGACAAGUCACGAUGUGACGGCGAUAUGAAUGGAUGCACUGGCCUCGCUGCCGACGAGUUCCCUAGGUGGUGCCGUGGAAUGCACUGCGUGAAGUAAGGUUUGCGGUUAAUAGCCGUCCUAUCCUGCAGCUGCCUGGACUGCUCUCGAAUGAUCCACUUGCCCGGUCAGUACAUCGCUUUCAUAGUCCUGGGAUGACGUCACGGUUCCGUCCGGGGGCGUUAUCCGCAGUCUCCAACGUAGUUUCCAACUU
Molecule: long non-coding RNA, 1065 nt
Filed under: Dermacentor andersoni
Lineage: Eukaryota; Metazoa; Arthropoda; Arachnida; Ixodida; Ixodidae
Description: uncharacterized LOC126537988
Source: RNAcentral